Molecule: long non-coding RNA, 231 nt
Filed under: Brassica napus (rape)
Lineage: Eukaryota; Viridiplantae; Streptophyta; Magnoliopsida; Brassicales; Brassicaceae
Description: long non-coding RNA (BNAP_LNC003302)
Source: RNAcentral
GUGCGAAUGUGAGAAUAUAGUAUAGUGUAGCUUUAGGCUUUUAGGAAUAUAUGGUGGUAUAUAGAUAAAUUUUAAUUUAUUAGAUUUUCUUUUAUGAUUUCGUCUAAAGGAUGCUCUAAAUAAAAAAUCCACACAUGAAAUAAAUUAUGAUUUCUGUUUUAAAAGAUACAAAUAUUUUAUUUUAAAAAGAAAUUAAUAUUUUAUUCUAAGAGAAUAUAUUUCAAAUUAUGU